CAGUUAUUGCGUCAGCCAUUUUCCGUUCAAUUUUGCUAAAGUCAAAAGUAGCGUCCGGUUAUUUCUGUUAUAAUUUUCGACAUUUGCGUAAUUUUUUUGAUUGUUUUUUGAUAUUUGUGUUAAUUAAUAUGCUAUGUAUCGGUACGUUGAUUGUUCGAGUAAAUUUAUUUCGUUCUACGAUGAUUUUUGACCGAUUCAAUUGUUUCGCAUUCAAGUAUGUGCUAGUCACAUGUAAGCCUAUUGUAUUCCGCGGUGUACUUUUAAAUUGUUGAAAAAUGCUGUAUAUUAUUCGUGUUAUGUGCAGUACAUAUUAUUGCGAAUUGUUUUUCUCAUUUACGCAUCAUCGGAGGCAGGCUGACUGGAGAAUUACCCGAAUUGGAAUAAUUAAUACCUACGGUGGCAAUUAGAGCUUUCGAAUGCAGAUGGACGUAGAUAUCGAACCCAAAAUAAAAGAAAAAAAUGAAGAUAUUAUGACUUUAUGCAGAAUGAUGAAAUGAUUGAAGAAACAAAACGAGUCACAAUUGCGAUUAGAGCUCCUUCUGCGAGCAAAUGGACUUGGACAAACGUAGAUAUCGAAACGCAAAAUGGAAGAGUAAAUGAAGAUAUGCAAAGUGAUGAAAUGAUUGAAGAAACAACAAUAAGUCACAAUUGCGAUUAGAGCUCCUUUUGAUGAUUUUGUGAAGAAUGAAAAUUGUUAUCAGUACUGUACGCGAGAUAUUUCCCCUCCCUCCGAAGAUGAAUUCGACGCGAUUUUUGGAAUUUCUGCUAGAAUUGGAUUGGAUCGGGUAUUGUCUUGGCAGUUAUAGGCGAAUUAGCGGUCGUCAUUGUCCGUCGGUGAUGGCCACUAAUUGAAGUGCCUCCGCAUGAUUGUGGAUGACGGAUAUGAGCCGGAUGAUUGGUCAACGUGGCGACUUACUCAGAUGGACUUCCUGACACGAAUUGUGCUUCCGUGCUGGUGGAUGCUGAUUUCGUUGCGUAUCCGAGCCGUGGCGAGAUCACUAAAGGUAUUCCACCUGGCCAUUUUCCCAUCCGGUCAGCUUGGGUACGGUUGGAGAGAAAGUCUGCUAUAUGGUCUGUGUUAGUUGGGGUUAAAAUUUACGUGUUUUUUCUGUUGAAAAUUUCUAAAUUUUGUCUUGCUUUUUUAUUUUUUAUUUAUUUAUUUAUUUUUUUCAAUUCAAUCAUUAUUUUUGGCUUCAUAUUUUCCUACAUUCUUCUCCCGUCUCUAUAAAAGAUGUAAACAAUUUUUACGGGUUGGUUUCAAUAUGUAUAAGGUAAGUAUGGCGUGCGAGUUUUCUACGUAAAUUUCAUUUUUUCCAUUUUUUUAUUUUUUAUUUUUUUUUAAAUUAAAGUUGUCCCUGUGCAUAACUUAUGUCCAACUUUACCAGAUCGUCUCGGUGGCCCAAGGGAAUUGUUGCCGGCGGGCCUGUGGAGUACUGGUAAUGCAAAAUUACAUUUUUUUUCUGCACAUUCUCUUGAUUUUCGCGAAAAGAUCGCAACUUUCGAGUGGAGGAGUUGCGCAACCGGCUCAUGUCUUGGACGUUACGGCGUAGCCUCCGCGUGUCCCAUGAGAUCCCACUCCCUCAGCAGCAACAAUCUGGAUAAGCCAACUUUACCGCUUCGCAAUGCCAUUAAUCGGGUUGGCGGUACUGCAAAAAGCUGCACUUUAGGUUUUUGGACCACGCGUAAAGAUCGCUACGCUCGAGGGAAGACGUAGCGCAGGUUCUCCUGGACGUACCCGGUAUCGAUACUGGCGCGGGUUCCUUGAGAAAUCCUCUUCCCUCAACCCAUUCUCAGUCCUUUGGGUGGGGUAUUCUUGUUCAUGAUGAUGCGUGAAGGGGUAAAGUAUGACGGACUUACUUUGCCAAGAUGGAGAGAAUGUGGUCUUCUACGUAAUUGAAUGCAACGAAAAAAUGAACAUGUGAAUGAUGCUCGUCGAAGGAUUUCACAAAGUAAUUGUCGAAGAUGGAAUCAGUUUUCUCUGAACAUGUGACAAGAAAAAAUGCUGGCAAUAAUUGCAAAGGAAAUGAAAAAAUGAAUAGAUUCGUAAAAGAUGCUCGUCAAAGGAUUUUACAACGUAGUUGUCGAAGAUGGAAUCAGUUUCCCAAUUGCUGGAGGCGAAGGCAUUUAUCCUGAUUUAAGAAUGUAUGGAAUUCAGAUGCAUAUGCUAUAUCUACGCGUGGUAUCAUCAGCUCCAGAAUACAUAUCCAGCUUCGAACGUGUGUGACACCUUGUGUAUGUAAUUUUUGUUAACUCGAUAUCUCUCGCCUCCCCCUCCCCCGCCUGUUCAGUAUCGAUUAUACGCGAUCGGCUUUUGACGGACGGGAAUAUAACCAGCUUGGCGAUUUUAUUUAGCAGAACCAGAAGUUUAUUGAACUUCGAGAAGCACGUUUAUUUAUGCAUAUAUGUUAUAUGUAUAAUGUUAGUGAAUGGAGCUUGUCGCCCCGCCUCCUCUACCUUCAUCGCAGCACUUGGCACGUUGGCCUAUGAACUUCACAUACGACAGACGCAAUACAGCGCAGAAUAAUUAUUUGAGCAGUAUACUCAGACGCACUUUUUGUCACUUGCGAAUUUUGAACGCAGCACUUGAGCGUGAUAAUUUUAGCUGUCACAAUUUUUCCUGGUUGAAGAACAAUAUAAUAUUAUGCAUGCGAAUUUGUAAAUGUGAUAAUGCCCCUACCUGAUAUUUGGCGAUUGAAAUGAUUCUAUUGGAAAAGCUCUAGAUUAUUCCCUGAAGAUGGAAUAGUUCUAUAUUGAGAACUUGCUUGAACGUUCGCUGCGUUGUUUAUGCAGUAUUUACCUAUGUACUUGUACUGCAAAACUCAUCGAUUGUAUGGAUUAUUUGCGCUCAAUUUUUUCAAUUGAUUGAUGGAUGGAUAUCGUCGACGUAUUAUGGAAGAAUUUUUUGAAGCUCGACAUAUAUGAUACGAGUAUUUUUACGUUUAAUUUUAGCAUUUUUACGGCGUAAUAUACUGACUCAAGACAACAUUAGUGCAGUACCAGAACAUUUUUUCUGAUUCUAAAACGAUGGUUUUUUGAUUUGCCCCUUCCCUAUCACUAUUUUGGUAUUCAAAGGGGUUUCUUUUCAAUAUACUUAUUUUAGACAGUACUUUGAUCAAAUCAGUAAUAUGAUUUUUAUUUUUUUUAAAAAUUGGAUAGGUACUAGAAUAUUUUGGAUCAAAAUUGGAAAAAUGUUUAUUUAGCUAUUUUCAAAAUUAAUUGUAUAGGUAAGUCAGGCGCCGAUGUUGGUAUCUGGUCAACCUGGAGACCUCACAACAUCGGAAGAGACCCGGAGGGUUUUGCGAUGCCUACUGCGAACCGCCCCCGGCAUCCGGGACUCCACGACGGCAUGGUAGGGUCGCAUUAAACGAAGGGUAAGAGGGAUGGUAGAUCUUACACGUUUAACUAGAUAUCUAACAUUGUUCGAAUCGCAGGUCGAAAGGUCUUUUCGUCGUCGGUGGCGUUCUUUGGUACCUCGUGUAUGACUUUUUCCUUCAAAAACACACAGACGUGUGAUUUUUGGAGCGAACGAGUCUUAUACGAGUUAUCCGAGGCGUCGUCGGCGAUUGGUGGUGCGUGAAAGGUGCGUGUCGAAGCUGUAGGGUCUGUCCCUGUCGAUAGCAGGCCGUGAAAACGGAGCAGUUUGGUUCGCAUGCUAAAUUAGUCGCAACCGUAGGCCGACGGGCCGAACGUUGCGCAAAGUCUUUCGUGUCUGGAAGCUGGCAUCUGCUACGCCGUGUAGGAGGCGCGUGAACGUGAAGUGUGCGCGAAGUUGGCGAAGGCUUCAAAAUAGGCAUAUGGGGUAAGAUUCGAGACAAGUCCGCAAGAACGGUACACUUGGUACAUAGGGGGCUUGCUCGGCGCCUCAAUAUUGGUACGGGCCAGAGGUUGGUGCGUACGGCCCUCCGAGUCGACAGAGCUCGGACUGCCCUUGUAGCCGUCUUAGGCGAGGUUAGGGUAGAAAUCCGUGCGCCGUCUACUUGCUUACUGCUUCCCGGCGGUACACGUGCCGACCGGGGUUUUUACAGGAUCGGCUUAUCAAAGAGGAUGUAGGCUGGCGCCUUUCAGGCGGUCUGUUAUCACUUCGUACGAGUGUAACUUUUAUUCCUACGUCGAGGUCAGCGUGUUGUAAAUUUUACACUCGUACGAAGUUAUAACUGACCUGCCUGCGAGGUCAGCUAUGUACCUUGCCUUGAGGAUCAAGUUCAGCCUAUCCCGCAGUGUUGGUGCUUUGGUCGAAUGCCCGUGAAACUCAUGAAGCAUUCAACAGCACUGCCCGUGGUGAGUGUAGGGAAUUUGAGAUACUGUUCCGGAGAGUUGGGCCCGACAAAGGGUUCGAUUGUCUGGACUGUUGAGAGUGCGAGAAGAGCGGAUGUCGAUCUGGAUUUUUAUGCUUUGUUAGAAUCUAGUUAAAGGUGUAGAGUCUUUCCGUCAUCGUAUGGGGUAGAGAAAUAAUCGAAAAAUUGAUGUAUUAAAACGUUUAGCAUCGAACUUUCUAGGAAUGUGUUUUAGUCAUCAUUGGUCGGAUGGGAAAUGACUGGGGUUCGAUUUUGGUACUGUGUGAAGAGUCAGUCAGGUACGGGUGAGUCGUUACUAUGUUACGUAUUAUAAGUUAGUUUACACGAGUCGAUUCAGGUGAGUCGUUAUUUAAUUACUUAUUAAUUAAGAUUAGUUUAUUUGUGUCGAAGAUAUAAGACAAGCGACGAACGAAAUUUGCCGAGAAAUUGAAAAUCAGGACCACCCCCCCCCCCCGCCCCUUUACUUUUUAUAUAUGUAUAUGUUGAUGUAUCAUUUGCAUUUCUGUUUGUGUAUUUUUUUUUUAUUUUUUUUUAUUUGUAAGUAUGUAUCAUAUCACAUGUUAUCGUUAUUCGUGUAUUUUUGUAAUGGCCAAUCAUGGUUUUUCACUGUCGAGCGGCCGGCAGUGUUUUUUAUUCCAGAUUGGUCAACGUGUUGUAGAAUUAUAAGGUUGUAUUGAUUUCUUUGCCGUUAAAAAAUUGAAACGAUUUUUGUUU
Molecule: long non-coding RNA, 5009 nt
Organism: Planococcus citri (citrus mealybug)
Lineage: Eukaryota; Metazoa; Arthropoda; Insecta; Hemiptera; Pseudococcidae
Exons: 7
Source: RefSeq, a predicted model, not a curated record